ACCUGAUGAUGUGGGAAUUUAUGUAAGAGGUCCCUAAAACGCUCCUAGGUCUCAAAAAAUAGUUCCCCAUUCAACUGUAAGAAACUAGUGAUGGCUCGCCUAAACU
Malania oleifera is the source of this 106-nucleotide small nucleolar RNA. NCBI's taxonomy places the organism in Eukaryota, Viridiplantae, Streptophyta, Magnoliopsida, Santalales, Ximeniaceae. The record is from RefSeq and is a predicted model, not a curated record.